This 318-nucleotide ribosomal RNA is filed under the name uncultured bacterium. Its description in RNAcentral is "bacterial SSU rRNA". It matches the Rfam family "Bacterial small subunit ribosomal RNA", at positions 30 to 346 of the family's 1533-position model. The record is from RNAcentral.
AUUGAACGCUGGCGGCAUGCCUUACACAUGCAAGUCGAACGGCAGCACGGGAGCAAUCCUGGUGGCGAGUGGCGAACGGGUGAGUAAUAUAUCGGAACGUGCCCAGUCGUGGGGGAUAACGUAGCGAAAGCUACGCUAAUACCGCAUACGAUCUAUGGAUGAAAGCGGGGGAUCGCAGACCUCGCGCGAUUGGAGCGGCCCGAUAUCAGAUUAGGUAGUUGGUGAGGUAAAGGCUCACCCAAGCCGACGAUCUGUAGCUGGUCUGAGAGGACGACCAGCCACACUGGGACUGAGACACGGCCCACGACUCCUACCGGG